Mus spicilegus (steppe mouse) is the source of this 392-nucleotide long non-coding RNA. The record is from Ensembl. NCBI's taxonomy places the organism in Eukaryota, Metazoa, Chordata, Mammalia, Rodentia, Muridae.
AUGAAAAAUCGAUUGGUGGGCAGCUGGACACUUGAUUCUGGUUACAUCCGUCUGUGCAUAUUCUUAAAAGAAGAGCCAAGAAACUAUUAUGAUAAAAACCAGUGGUAUGAUACAGAUGUCCUGCAGAAUCUAAUUAGAGAAGGAUAUAAAUGGAUUGGACAAAGAAGUCACACCAUGCCUGUGUGAAACAGAACUCUGUGCUCCUUACUCUUUGGUGUUCAUUGUCAGAUUAUAAAUCAAGAUACUGGCAUAAAAGCUUUGUCUCAGACACGGUAGUAGACAGAACCAAGACUAACUCAGAGACCAACUAGUCCAAGGAUAUAUAGCAUCACUGACAUUGAAGAUAGUGAAAGAUAAAGGUAAAAGACACAUCCGUAACCACAAAGAAGCUG